UACAGAGGGUGCGAGCGUUAUCCGGAAUCACUGGGCGUAAAGGGUACGUAGGCGGUUAAUUAAGUCCGAUGUCAAAUCUUGAGGCUCAACCUCAAGUCGGCGUUGGAUACUGAUUAACUAGACUACUGGAGAGGUAAGUAGAAUUACCAGUGUAGCGGUGGAAUGCGUAGAUACUGGUAGGAAUACCCAUAGCGAAGGCAGCUUACUGGACAGAUAGUGACGCUAAGGUACGAAAGCGUGGGGAGCAAACAGG
RNAcentral lists this ribosomal RNA (253 nucleotides) under uncultured bacterium. RNAcentral's name for it is "partial 16S ribosomal RNA". It matches the Rfam family "Bacterial small subunit ribosomal RNA", at positions 524 to 776 of the family's 1533-position model. The record is from RNAcentral.